RNAcentral lists this ribosomal RNA (510 nucleotides) under Cyclophorus pfeifferi. RNAcentral describes it as "partial 16S ribosomal RNA". It matches the Rfam family "Bacterial large subunit ribosomal RNA", at positions 1815 to 2597 of the family's 2925-position model. The record is from RNAcentral. Lineage: Eukaryota; Metazoa; Mollusca; Gastropoda; Architaenioglossa; Cyclophoridae.
AUGUCUCUCUGAAAAAGUAGUAUAGGGAGUCUGGCCUGCCCGGUGACAUAGUUUAACGGCUGCAGUAUCCUGACUGUGCAAAGGUAGCAUAAUAACUUGCCUUUUAAUUGGAGGAUGGAAUCAAUGGCUUGACGAGAGCAAAGCUGUCUUUUUUGUUUUUGUUAGAAUUUAUUUUUUAAGUUAAAAAGCUUAAAUAUAACUAAAAGACGAUAAGACCCUAUUGAGCUUUAAAGAAAUAAAAUGGUUAUUCAUUAUUAAUAAGAUUGGUAACAAUUUUAAAAAAUUUUGGUUGGGGCGACCGCGGAGUAUAAAAAACCUCCGGACUAGAAAAUUAAUUUCUAUUUUUGAUCCACGAUUUGUGACAAGUGGAAUCAGUUACCAUAGGGAUAACAGCGCACUGCUUUUAGGGAGAUCGUAUUUCUAAGAGAGAUCGCGACCUCGAUGUUGGAUUAAGGUAUACUAGAGGGCGCAGAAGCUUUUUAAGUUAGUCUGUUCGACUAUUAAACCCUU